RNAcentral lists this long non-coding RNA (859 nucleotides) under Mytilus galloprovincialis (Mediterranean mussel). Lineage: Eukaryota; Metazoa; Mollusca; Bivalvia; Mytilida; Mytilidae. The record is from RNAcentral.
GGGGUGAAAAAAAAUUUUUUAUACUGUUAUGUUUGAGGUAAUAGGUUAUAUUUGUGUAUAAUGUAUUAAGGGGAGAUAAUCAAUCCAAAUGACUUCAUAGGGGUGAACAAUAAAGAUUUGUUUUAUACUGUCAGGUUUGAGGUAAUGGUAGGUUAUACUUUGUGUAUAAUGUAUAAAGGGGAGAUAAUCAAUCAAAUGACUUCAUAGGGGGUGAACAAUAAAGAUUUUUUUUAUACUGUCAGGUUUGAGGUAACGGUAGGUUAUACUUUGUGUAUAUUGUAUAAGGGGAGAUAAUCAAUCCAAAUGACUUCAUAGGGGUGAACAAUAAAGAUUUGUUUUAUACUGUCAGGUUUGAGGUAACGGUAGGUUAUACUUUGUGUAUAAUGUAUUAAGGGGAGAUAAUCAAUCCAAAUGACUUCAUAGGGGGUGAACAAAAAGAUUUGUUUUAUACUGUCAGGUUUGAGGUAAUGGUAGGUUAUACUUUGUGUAUAAUGUAUUAAAGGGGAGAUAAUCAAUCCAAAUGACUUCAUAGGGGUGAACAAAAAGAUUUGUUUUAUACUGUCAGGUUUGAGGUAAUGGUAGGUUAUACUUUGUGUAUAUAUGUAUAAGGGGAGAUAAUCAAUCCAAAUGUACUUCAUAGGGGUGAACAAUAAAGAUUUGUUUUAUACUGUCAGGUUUGAGGUAACGGUAGGUUAUACUUUGUGUAUAAUGUAUUAAGGGGAGAUAAUCAAUCCAAAUGACUUCAUAUGUUGUGAACAAAAAAGAUUUGUAUUAUACUGUCAGGUUUGAGGUAAUGGUAGGUUAUACUUUGUGUAUAAUGUAUAAAGGGGAGAUAAUCAAUCCAAAUGACUUCAUAGGG